CCGCCCUGCUUUUGACUCUACGAUUCAGAAGACUUGGGGAAGACAGGACGAACUUGCCAGGCCCAGCAGGCCAAGUUUCCGGAGCCAUAGAAGGGGAUUCUCCAAGAAAACGAGGACAGAUUCAGCUAGAGUCGCUCACUUCGUCCAGCUGACAGACCCAGUUUCCACCGUAACAGGGUAUUACCUGCCUGCUGAUCCACAUGUAGAACCCUUAGCUGCCUCUCCAGCAUAUCUGCCUGCAUGACACCAUGCUUCCCGUCAUGAUAAUGAACUAACCUUCUGAACUGUAAACUCCAAUUAAACCUUUUCUUUAUAAGA
This is a long non-coding RNA of Onychomys torridus (southern grasshopper mouse), 318 nucleotides long. RefSeq lists it as uncharacterized. NCBI's taxonomy places the organism in Eukaryota, Metazoa, Chordata, Mammalia, Rodentia, Cricetidae. The transcript is spliced from 3 exons. The record is from RefSeq and is a predicted model, not a curated record.